UGUACACGCUGUGACUAGCAUAUCAAUAAGCGGAGGAAAAGAAACUAACAAGGAUUCCCCUAGUAACGGCGAGUGAAGCGGGAAGAGCUCAAAUUUGAAAUCUUAAAGGGUUUCCCUUUACGAAUUGUAGUUUAAAGAAGUGUUUUCUGUUGAGGUUUUGGUAAAAGUUCUUUGGAAUAGGACAUCAUAGAGGGUGAGAAUCCCGUAUUUGACCUUUACUUUCAACUUUGUGAUACACUUUCAAAGAGUCGGAUUGUUUGGGAAUGCAGUCCAAAAUGGGUGGUAAAUUUCAUCUAAAGCUAAAUAUUGGCGAGAGACCGAUAGCGAACAAGUACCGUGAGGGAAAGAUGAAAAGAACUUUGAAAAGAGAGUUAAACAGUACGUGAAAUUGUCAAAAGGGAAGCGUUUGACACCAGUGUUGUUUUUCUGAAAAUCAAUUAAAGAACUGUUUAUGCUAAGUUGUUUAGACUUUAUCAGCUAACUGUUUAGUUUUGAGCUUUUCUUUAAUGCACUUUUCAGUUAACAAGUCAACAUCAAUUUCUUUUGCUGUAAAAAAGCUUGAGGAAGGUGGCUUGAGAUUCGUCUUAAGUGUUUAUAGCCUCUUGCCUAUGCAGUCGGAGAGAUUGAGGUCUGCAGCGUAGAUCCUUCGGGGCUAAAUGCAUUUGUGCUAAGUUAUAACAUUUCAUAGACAACUUGUUGACUAUGAUUUGUCUUGUAGCUUACUCGCUUAUGUUAUUUUACCUACGCUUAGGAUGUUGACAGCAGUAUAGACUGU
This 775-nucleotide ribosomal RNA is filed under the name uncultured Neocallimastigales. RNAcentral's name for it is "partial large subunit ribosomal RNA". It matches the Rfam family "Eukaryotic large subunit ribosomal RNA", at positions 22 to 637 of the family's 3401-position model. Lineage: Eukaryota; Fungi; Neocallimastigomycota; Neocallimastigomycetes; Neocallimastigales. The record is from RNAcentral.